UAAAUAUAUUUAAAGAAACGACUAUAUUUUCUGAAAUAAAGUACCUAUUCUAAUUUAAACCAUAAUUUGUAUUCACAGUGUAGUUAUUAAUUUCGUUUUUUUUUUUUUUUUUAGAAAUUUGCGUAAGCUAAAAUAAAUGACACACUGAUGAUUAUUGUCUUUUGAACAUAUACACGACUAUAACUUAAAUAUUAUAUUUUUUUUACUAUUUGGUCAAUUAAUUCUUUUCCGUAUGUGCGGCAAUAAAAUAAAGGAUUAUACAAAUAUACAACAUGCCUAUGCAAAGAUUUCGGUAAUAAAAUGUUUCUUACUCCAGUUUUCAAGUGAAUAUUUGAAAGAAAAAAAAAACUAUUCCUGGUUUAUUUACAAUUUAUCCAAAAAUUCAAAUUGAGAGUUUGGGGAAUAUCUCAGUUAUUUCAUGGGAAGAAGAAAAAGAGUGGUUUAUACAUCGGUGCCGUUUAGACUUUUAAAAAUAAAUGUUUAAAAUUAUUAUAAAUUAUAAAUUUUAUAGUUCAUUUUUUUUAAUAUUUUGAAACUUAUUCAGGAUACUUAAUGCAGUUAUCAUAUACAUUACUUUCACAUACCCUUUUCAGGUUUAUACAAAAAUGAUUUCAGCCCAGUUGCACAAUGAAAUUAAAGUUAUUUUUAAGUUUAAAGCGUUUUUUUUUACAGAGAAAUACCUAGCAAUAAAUUAAGAGCCCUUUAAAUGUAAAGUACUUUUAGCUCUGAUUAUGACUAUAGUUAUUUUCAUGUAAGUCAAUCAUGCCAUCCCUAGAAUUUGCGAGAUGGUCAGUUAAAAAUAAGUACAGUUGAUGACAGCUUUAUCAGUUCAAUCCCAACAUGUAAGACAAUGUAACUUUGAACUUCAAAUAAUCCCUAAUAUGAAAUCUGCUAGUAUCAAAUUUGAAAAAUGUAUUUAAGAUGUUUAUUUCUAAACAUAUAAUAUUAAUGACGUUUUUCUGGGUUUGGACCAUGUCCAUCUUCAGGAAAUAACGGACAAGAAUAAAAAGUGCGGGAGAGAAGAGGACAAUACUGAUGGUGAAUCUUUUUUGGCAUCGUUCUUCUUGUUUUUUAUUUGCUGAAGAUGCAUCUAAUGAAAAUGAGCGAAUAUUGAAACCCUUUUCAAAAUUGACGUGGUUCAAACCCCGAAAACUCUAGUUGCGAAAACUUUCGGUUCUAUAACGUUAUAAUUAUGUGGUCAUAUUUUUUUUUAUUUUUUAAAAUUGAAUUUGAAAUUUUAAUUGAUUACAAUUUAAUAACAUUUUAGUUAAGGCAUUAUUGAAAAAACAAGUGUUCGUUACAUUGUUUUGGCUGUUUUUUCAGUCGAAUUAAUAAUUGCACGUUUUUUUAUUAACUAACAUGUACUUCUGUUUAUUUUGCUCACAUAAUAUAUUUUUAACUAUUUAAUUAUUCAGUAUUUUAUGUCCGGUUGUUUCGACAAUAUUAUAAAUAUUUGGUUUUAUCAUUAACUUAGCUUAAAUAACACACUAUAAGAAAAGACAAAGUUCACUAUAUUUGGUUGUUUCAAAGCUAAGUUAAAGCAGUUAUAUUUAUAAACACCUAAAAAGGGAGCCGCUUUUUUCCAAACACUUCUAUUACAUAUACGUAUUCAUUUUAAAGUAAUUUUAUUGCCGAAUAGACUUCGUUAUACCAAUGUGCAAAAGCAUUGAUUUUGGUUGUUUGGUUGGUUGAUUAGUUUGUUUUAACAAUAAUUAAAUUAAAUAUUGCUGGUUCCAGCAGUAUGAUUUUCAUAGCAUUAAGAUGUUUACAUUUUUAAAUAGUAGUAAUAAGUUUAUGCAUUGUGUAUAAAACGUGUCACGAAAAUUUAAGCACGAGAACUUUCAAGUUGAUAGUAAUAGAGUUAUAAAUUAUACUUUGAAAUAUAUUGGCCUGUAAAAAUUUAAGUCUUUGUACUAGGAGUAAUAAAUUUUAAACUCGAGUUAAGAAAAUUGCAACCGAAUUUUAGUAAAAUAAAUUUGACAAACCGUGUGUAUUCACAAAUUGGCAAAACUCAUCUAAAAGGUGUUAGUAUUUCUUACGGGCUUUAUAUGUGCUGUCAACUACACAAAAUAGCGAAUAUUUUUUUUUGUUGCUCUCUUGGGUAUCGAUCAGCAAAAUCUUUAAUUACGCUGAUUGCCGUUGGCCUCUAAUUUAUAAACGUGUUUUCUUUAAAUAAACGGUUUUGCUUAAUUAUUUCAAAUUUAAAUGGAAAACUUAUAUUUUUAACUGCAAUGUCCACAACAACGUUUGCAGUUCUGCUUCAAUUAAGGACUGACAGUGAUCACCAAGGCACGGAAUAAAAUCUCACAGCUCGAUCCAGUGCUGCUGCGUCGAUACUUUGAUUACAAAUGUAUUUUCUUUUUGGACUAUAUCAACGUAAUAUGGGACAAAAUACGAUAAAGGGCAAAAUCACUGAAAAGAAAAAAAUAAAAACUAACAUGUUUUAGGUGUAAUUUUUUGUUAAUAGAUUAACACUACAGGAUGUUAAAAAGCAAUUUAUAAUAAUGUCCGCGAAAAUAUUUUAAUAGGCAGCAAAUGAAGGACUAGAUUUUUUUUCUAAGCGAGGAACAGUUUUAAUUAUAAAAUAAUAAUAAAUUUUAAUACGUUAAUAACAUUUAUUUGGCCUUUGUUGAAAGGAAAGUGGUUACAAAUACAAUUAAAUGAGCAUUCAAAAUAACUUAAUUCUCUACAAAUAUGUUUUUUGGCUUCAAUACUACACGUAAUUUGGUGAAUCGACGAAAUGCCUGGAAUGUUGAAAAUAUCUCUGUAACGCUUAGUUCUUAAUUUUUCCUGCUGUUUUACUCGCAUCUUUUCAUUUUUGUUCAUGUCAUUUAUUUUCUUUCGAUUUUUUGGAUUGUACUCCGUGUCUUUCAUUCUUUUUAAAUUUCCAUCUUUUUCCGACAUUCUUACACGUUUUUUUUUUCUUUUCACGUUUAUAUUCUCGUUUUCAGCUGCAGUUUUCUUCGUUUUCUUAAACAUAAAAUAAUAUGGCCGUUAGCCACUAUAGAUAAGAAUUUAUCGGUAAAAUUAAAAAUAAGGGGACCGGCGUUACAGGGGACCGUCGUUACAAAAUACGUUUAAUAUAUAUAUUUUGUAAUUCGCAAUAAUCUGAAAUUUAGCACAUAACCAUUUAAUCAAAUUGUUUUCAAUGCUUUAUUGGACAAACAUAAUACUUACGCUAUAAAAUUGAAAAUACCGUUUAUAUCAGCGGGGACCGUCGUUACUUUAGAAAACAUAUUUUUUCAAAUUACGAAUAAAUGAUGUAAAUUAAACGUGAAAACUACAACAACAGACAACUUAACUGUUUGGCCAUUUUUUUACUCACUUUGUCAACUUGUCAGAAGCAGUCACAGCUUCUUCAGUUAAAAGCAAUGAUAACAAUAUCCAUAAAUGCUUACCAAAUCUUAAAUGAUGCAUUUGUAGGUACACAUUUAUUUAUUUUUUUUUGUACAACAAUAAAGCAAUUAAAAGACUUUUAAUUAUGUUUAAAUAAAUGUUCACGGUAUUGAGUUUACAAAAAUAAAUUAUACGUAAAUAACAUGAAUGCAGCAGUUGCCCACAAUACGAAGCUUUUUGUAAAUAUCGCCUGGGGACAGGGGACCGGCGUUACAUUUUUUAAAAGUUUUAUGGAAAACUGCAACUGUGUACCAUUUAAUAUUAGUGAACUGUGUAAUAUCUAAUAAUUAUAAAGUCAUUGUUUGUGAUAAAUUCAAUAUUUAAGAAAAAAUUAAAAGAAAACACAGAUAAAUGUGGUAGGAACACGUUUUUGCCCAUUAUCGUAUUUUGUCCCAUAUAACAUUUCAAGAUCACAAAUGUGAGGUCCUAUAUUAUUAUUGACCGUAAACACUCCUAAUGCGAGGCACUAGCUACGGCCUUGCGGACCAGAUCAAAGCGUCCCCACUAGUCGCCGUAAAACACACCUUACUUCAAAUGGGGGACUGCAGCAUUGAGAUUUAAUUCCACACACUGGUGAUCACUGUAUUUCUCAAACUCAAAUUGAUCCUAGCAAUGAGAUGGCAUUCUUGAUAACACAGAUAAUCUGGUGCAUUUUAAAUCAAUUGUAAGUAUCAAAACAAUGAUGAAAGUUAUGAAUGCUGAAUAAGAUUUCGCUUGAAAACAAUUCAUACUUUAUUUUUUGCUUUGGUUUAUACUUUAUUUGCCCGACUCAAGUAAUCCAGUAUAGCAUUCGAGAUUCUAAUUCUACGGCGUGGAACUCGAAUUUAAAUACUCUGGUUUAGCAUUUGCAUCACUAAAAACUCCAUACUCAUACUGAUAUCUUUUUGGGAAUUUGUAUUCCCUACCAUAGAAGAUAGUAGUUUCUACAUCACAAUAAUGAUGGAUAUAAAAAAUUGAACUUCAAAAAAGACAGUAACAACAUUUUUGUCAGUAUUUUUAAAUUUAGGUAGCUGUAUAUUAGUAAUUUUGUUGUAAUUAGUACGAUCCUUGGGUGGUACUUCUGCUUUACCAACCGCUAAAAGGCGAACGCUUUAAAAUCAUAUACUUGAAGGUUAACUUGUUUUAAUCUGCUGUCAAUAUUGUAGAUCACAGUAUCGAAGCUACUGCAUACUUCAUCUGUAUACGCUUUAUGUUUAUAUGCAUACAGAAUCGACAAACAUUAAACCGACUGCAACGCCACCUAUGUCCUACUUUGUUAAUAUUAUUUAUUAGUGUAAUCUAAUUCUUGGCCUACAAAUCAAAAGUAGAAGCUUUAGUUUUAAAGUAAAGAGGUCAAUCACAUUUUUAUAAACCAAUGCUCGUUUAUGAUGAGAUAUUACCUACAGUUGUUUGGUAACAUUUUGGAACGUGUUAUCGUGUUUUUCUGGAAAAGUUAGAACUUUUAUUUUUGUUUUUUGAUUUUGUCGUGAUCUUUGCACAAUACGUGCGAUAUAGAGAAAUCUGUUGGACAGCCUCAUUUUUCUGAGAUAUGGUCACGGUGUAUAAUAAGUUAGGUGUUACGACGAAGCGUAUUCACCGUGCAUCGACUUGACGCCGGUUUAGUCACGAUGAGCGCUCGAGAGAGACAGACAGCGGCGGCCUGUAACCUCUCACUUAGAUCUGUUUAGCAGCGUUUGGCGGGCUUUUUCCCUCUCUCGGUGUGACAGAUUUUGCUAGGUUUUCUCUGCGAUUUCUUACUUGUUUUUUGAUUUAUCAAUAAAAAUGGGUAGAAAAUGUGUUGUGCCUAAUUGUUCUAGCGGAUACAAUGGUAAUCCCGAAAAAGUGUCGGUGUUUCGGGUACCUAAAGACAGAUUACUGGAAUGGCACUUUUAUUGCAGUAGUGAACUGCUGCUUUUGAACAACACUUUGCACUAAAAAAUACUGGUCGUCGCUAUAGUAAUAGUCGGCAUUUUAUGUUGAAUUUUAUUUUUACUUAAAACAAUUACUCCCUUUUUAUCGGUUAUGUGUUAUGUUUUAACAUUCAAGAAACAGAAUUUAUGUUUAUUUUCAGAGGGUUUUUGAAUGCGAUAUGUAUUUUUUCUUUAUUCCACAUAAACUAUAUUUUUUGCAGAGAUUUUUCGGCACAAUUCGACAAGCAGGUUGUGCCAAUGGACAUCCUUAUCUAUAACUCUUUGCAGCUAUACCGAAUGUUAUCGGUUUAUAAAUUAUUAAAACCUCCGAAAUUUGGUAAUUGCACACAGAUGCAGGACAAUAGUAAUGCAAAUCAUUCGUUAUCAUUUAAUGACUCCAAAAAUAUUUUUGAAACAAAUACCAGAAUGCGGGAAAAAUCAUGUUGAGAAAAUAAAAAGGAAAAUUGAAUAUAUUUUAGAUACAGAUUCACCGAUUAACGAAAUAGACGAACAACUAUUUGAAGAUGUCACUACAACUAAAAUUGUUGACAACAUCAUUUAUUACUUAGCUGGAUUUGUCGCAAAAAAAAUUGUACAAUACUUCAAAAUGUAAUAUUUGCCGUGAACAGUUAUAUAACAAAGAAGAUCCAUGUUCUAGUACAUCUGAAUUUACUAGUACAAAACCCAGGGGGUGGUUAAACCAUCCAGAUUUGUUAAUGUUUAAUAUGUUCCGAUGGGUGGAAGGGAUACUUAUGAAAUAUAUCGAUUUUGUGGAUGUAUUCGAUGCAACAAUUGAAGAGCUAUUCGCAACAAAAAUUUUAUGACUAUUUACUUUAUUUUUUCUUGUGAAGAGCAUAGAAUGGAAAUACUUUCAAAGGCAAUAUAUUUUUACACAAUUAUGCGAAUUAAACAAUUUUAUAAACAGGAACAAGAGAAAACAACCAAGGCAUGUGCAGAAAAAAGAAAAGAGUCUCGAUUACAGACUACGUAAUAAUGGUAAAUUUUUAUUUCUCAAACAGUAAAGCAGAUAAUGGUUAAUGGAUAUUUUUUGGUUGUCUUGUGAAACGAACAGAAGUGAGUGAAUCUAAUAUAAUCUGUGAAGGCGAAAAGAACUAUCUUUAACAACGAGUUCACAUUCAUCUUUUUAAAUAAAUUAUUAUUUUAAAAAUGUUUAAAGUUUUUAUUUUAAUACAAUGGAUAAUUAAUUUUGAUGAUUUUUGGACCUAAAUGGCUUUAAUUCCGACAAAUACUUCUCCCGUCUCUUUCCCGUCAGUGCGAUUAAAUGACGGCCGCCCUCUUCUGUUUCUCUCGCUCCAAAUGUGUGACUAGUUGGGGACACGUUUCACGCGCUCGUCGGAACACCUAACUUAUUAUACACCGUGGAUAUGGUUAAAUAUUCAGUAUAUGGAACAAUGAUUGUAAUUGUUUUAGAUGUGUAUUUACUGCGUAAAUCAGGGGGUAUACUAGACAAUGAUCUCUGUUCCAGUCUUUUUUUUCGAUGUUUUUUAUUACAAUUGUGUUUCUAUAGAAUUAUUUAUUCACUAAUUUUGGUAAUCAAGUGGACUAGCUAUAGCGAAAUUGUUGCGUUCACGCUUUCAGGGGGAACUCCUAAUUUGUACUAAAAAUUUAAUUAAUUAUUCUAUAUGAAAAGCAUCUUACACCCAUUUCAGCAAACAGGUAACAUACUGGACAUGAAAAUGGAUUGUGUAACUAACUUAAAAUCGAAAUACUUUUUUUUCCCCUGUUAAUAUUUCAGUAUUAUUUAAUUAUACAAAAACACAAAUCGACACUGCUUAAUCAUAUAAUUGAUAAUUAAUUUGUAAUCUUCAUUAGUUCUGUUAGUUUAUAUAUGUAUAUUAUUCCAGUAAAAAUGUAAAAUGUAUUAAAUGUCCACUUUACUAUUCACUGAAUGUGUGUACGAAUUACAUUUAUAGUUAUAGUGGGUGAAUGCAUUUAGUUAAUUAACACAUUUAUUUAAGAUACAUUAGAGAUACAAUACAAGCGAAGAAACAAAUCGUAUACUGAUGUAACAUUUUAAUUACUUCAUAAUUAAAGAAUUGUAUGUUUCUCUUCCAUGCUGAAACAGCAUAACACAAAGUAACACAUUCCACACGGCUGAAAAUAUGUCUUAAAAAUGCACAAAAGACAAUUCUAUGCGGGUUUUGUUCAUUACUUUUCCUAACUCCAUCGAGGAACGCUUUUCUUAAGAAUUGAUUCUAAUCAAAUUAAUAAAACAACUUUAUAUUUUUUUAUUUAAACUUUUAUGAAUAAUUGUUUGCCUUUUUAAUUUUCCGCUUGUCGUAGCUUCACUAAAGAUUUUUAGUUCAGAUAUGAUGAGAUGCACUUCAUAACAGUAAAUUUUGGUUUUACAUGUUGGAAUCUUACAUCACCUAGAAAUGAUUAAUAUAACGUCCUUGGCCAAGAACUUAUAAAUCUCCACAUAUGGUAUUUCAUAUCACGUAAGUUUACAAGGCGUUAUUUUAAAAACUCUAUUUUUUUAAACGUUGUGAAAUUUUAAAUUUUGACACCGCCUUGUAUAUCACUGUAGGGUGUGCAAUUUGUUCUACUAGUUACUGAUGUAAUGGUAGUAAAUUUUAGGGGUUCGCAGAAAAAUGUAUUGCUGAUGUAUUGUAAACACACUGAUUGUUAUUAUCUUUUUCCAUUAUCAUUAAUAUAUAUCGUUAUCAAAGUGACUGUCCUGUACGUGGAAGUGUUCUGUAUGAAGUUGAUUCAUUAAGUUAACUUCAUUACAGUUGUUUCGUCGAAUUUGUGGUGGGUUGUUGUCAUAUUUGUUAAUCUAUAGUAAUCGUUCCUAGUCCACAGCUUUAGUAUUAUGAUUUAGAAUACCACUAUUAAUUGUAACCGGCAUUUAUUGUUUUCAAAUAAAAAAUAACGUGUUGUUCUGCCUUCAUCGCAAAAAAUUUUCUUUAUAUAUUAUUUCCACGAGUUUAAUAUUGGCAACCUCAUAAAGUCGUAAGGUGAAUAAAAUCUGGACAUGUGAAAAUUGGUCUAAAAGUCUUAGGUGCAUUCAGUAGAAAAGAUGCGUUAGGUACAUAAAUGUAAAAUCAUAACUGCCAAUUUCCAUAAAAAACGAAAUUAAAGAAAAAAGUGAAAAGUUAAUAUUAAAUUACGUUAUCUGAAAUUUGCUGUAACUUGUUACUAGAAUUGUUAAUAAAUCCUUCUAAAGAAUGAGUGGGAAUAAAAAAUUUUCCGACACACACAUGCAUAAGAAAUAAAUGAGGCUAUUUUCUUUUUAAGGAGUUUGUUCAUUUCAUUCUCUAUGUCGUUAUAUGUUUUAAUUGUUACGUCCUUUGUUAUAGAAACUUACAAUUUUGUUUUAAAUCGAAAAACUGAAGAGACUUUACGUUAUUUCGUAGUUAUUGCUGCAAAGAAAACAAUUUGAUUACAAAUACGAAAACUUGUAAGUUUCUACGUAUUAACUACUUUGUGUAUUAUUUUUAUUGUAGGUUGUGAUAGAUAAAAAGGCUAAAUAUAUGUAUAUUUAAUUAA
Long non-coding RNA from Zophobas morio, 8795 nucleotides. RefSeq lists it as uncharacterized. The transcript is spliced from 2 exons. The record is from RefSeq and is a predicted model, not a curated record. Lineage: Eukaryota; Metazoa; Arthropoda; Insecta; Coleoptera; Tenebrionidae.